RNAcentral lists this unclassified non-coding RNA (333 nucleotides) under soil metagenome. RNAcentral's name for it is "partial contains 5.8S ribosomal RNA, internal transcribed spacer 2, and large subunit ribosomal RNA". The stretch from base 1 to 120 matches the Rfam family "5.8S ribosomal RNA", at positions 35 to 154 of the family's 154-position model. The record is from RNAcentral.
GAUGAAGAACGUAGCGAAAUGCGAUAAGUAAUGUGAAUUGCAGAAUUCAGUGAAUCAUCGAAUCUUUGAACGCACAUUGCGCCCGCCAGUAUUCUGGCGGGCAUGCCUGUUCGAGCGUCAUUUCAACCAUCAAGCCCCCGGCUUGUGUUGGGGACCUGCGGCUGCCGCAGGCCCUGAAAUGCAGUGGCGGGCUCGCUGUCACUCCGAGCGUAGUAGUUACAUCUCGCUCUGGGCGUGCUGCGGGUUCCGGCCGUUAAAAGCCUUAUUUACCCAAGGUUGACCUCGGAUCAGGUAGGAAGACCCGCUGAACUUAAGCAUAUCAAAAGCGGAGGA